GCGGUUAUACAAAUAAUACAAUUUAGUUUUAUAAAUAUUAAUUAAUUUAAUAAUAAUAAUUUUAUAAAAAAAUUUAUUAGGUGAAAUUUUAAAUUUUUAUAAAAUUAUAAUUUAUAAAUGAGGUUAGUAAAAUUUAAUUUUAAACUAGGAUUAGAUACCCUAUUAUUUAAAUAGUAAAAAAAUUAUUUAAUAAUUAUUAGAUAUAUUCUUUAAAGUUAAAAAUUUUGGCGGUAUUUUAGUCUUUUCAGAGGAACUUGUUCUAUAAAUGAUACUCCACGAUUUAAUCAAUUUUUUUUAGGAACUUAUAUAUCGUCGUAAUUAAAUAUUUUUUUAGAAUUUUAAUAUUUAGGAUUUUUAAUUAAAAAAUUAAUCAGAUCAUGAUUUAGUGUAUAAAAAAGCAGAAAUGAGUUACAAUAAAAGUAUUUUUGGAUUAAUUAUAUUAUUAUAAUUAUGAAAUUGGAUUUGAAAGUAAAAUUAAUUAAUUAAUUAAUUUGAUUUAGCUCUAAAAUAUGU
Molecule: ribosomal RNA, 513 nt
Filed under: Monolepta australis
Lineage: Eukaryota; Metazoa; Arthropoda; Insecta; Coleoptera; Chrysomelidae
Description: partial 12S ribosomal RNA
Source: RNAcentral